Molecule: long non-coding RNA, 564 nt
Organism: Suricata suricatta (meerkat)
Lineage: Eukaryota; Metazoa; Chordata; Mammalia; Carnivora; Herpestidae
Exons: 3
Source: RefSeq, a predicted model, not a curated record
UAACUCUGCAUACUUUCUACAGGGGCUUGGAUUUUAGUUCCCUAGACUUUAGUUUCUUCAUUCAUAAAACAGGGGUGAAGGAUGAGACUGUCUCUUAAAGCUUUUCAUUAAUUCCACAACGUCCUAGCUGAAUUAAAAUGCCAUGACCUAGAGGCAGUGAUCUCCAGAAAUCCAGUUCCACAAUUCAACUACUCUUCCAUGAGUGGGACAAUGGUGCCUGCCGUUACAGUGUUUCUCCAGCACAGAUAGAGGAGCAGAAUGGCUGAUAAUAGGACCCUCAAACAGCUGCUGAAUGAGGCACUUCAAGUAAGAAGGGCAAAGGAAAUAUGCAGCAAAGCAGGGCUUCAAAGAAGAGAACAUCACUGUGAAUUGCAGGGAAACAGCAGAGGCCCAUAUUCCCCUGCCAGUAUGCGGAAUUCCAGGUAAAGGAACUACUAGUUCUCGCUGAAGGUGGAACUGGAUACUGAAAGAUGUGCAGGAGUUCACAAGACAGAAAAAUGGACAAGACCAUCCCAUGUUGAGAAAUCAGUUUAUGGAAAUGAAUAAACACACAUUCUCAGAAUA